This is a transfer RNA of Plasmodium yoelii yoelii 17XNL, 72 nucleotides long. It matches the Rfam family "tRNA". From Rfam's summary of the family: Transfer RNA (tRNA) molecules are approximately 80 nucleotides in length. Their secondary structure includes four short double-helical elements and three loops (D, anti-codon, and T loops). Further hydrogen bonds mediate the characteristic L-shaped molecular structure. tRNAs have two regions of fundamental functional importance: the anti-codon, which is responsible for specific mRNA codon recognition, and the 3' end, to which the tRNAs corresponding amino acid is attached (by aminoacyl-tRNA synthetases). tRNAs cope with the degeneracy of the genetic code in two manners: having more than one tRNA (with a specific anti-codon) for a particular amino acid; and 'wobble' base-pairing, i.e. permitting non-standard base-pairing at the 3rd anti-codon position. The record is from Rfam. NCBI's taxonomy places the organism in Eukaryota, Apicomplexa, Aconoidasida, Haemosporida, Plasmodiidae.
UCCGAGAUAGUAUAGUGGCCAGUAUUUCCGCCUGUCACGCGGAAGACCCGGGUUCAAUUCCCGGUCUCGGAG